RNAcentral lists this ribosomal RNA (559 nucleotides) under Fermentozyma sake. RNAcentral describes it as "eukaryotic LSU rRNA". It matches the Rfam family "Eukaryotic large subunit ribosomal RNA", at positions 68 to 655 of the family's 3401-position model. The record is from RNAcentral. Lineage: Eukaryota; Fungi; Ascomycota; Pichiomycetes; Serinales; Debaryomycetaceae.
CCAAUGUAUGCCCAGUAGCGGCGAGUGAGCGGCAAGAGCUCAGAUUUGAAAUCGUGUUUCGGCACGAGUUGUAGAGUGUAGGCGGGAGUCUCUGUGGAGCGCGGUGUCCAAGUCCCUUGGAACAGGGUGCCUGAGAGGGUGAGAGCCCCGUAGGGUGCUGCGCGAAGCUUUUGAGGCCCUGCUGACGAGUCGAGUUGUUUGGGAAUGCAGCUCCAAGCGGGUGGUAAAUUCCAUCUAAGGCUAAAUAUUGGCGAGAGACCGAUAGCGAACAAGUACUGUGAAGGAAAGAUGAAAAGCACUUUGAAAAGAGAGUGAAACAGCACGUGAAAUUGUUGAAAGGGAAGGGUAUUGGGCUCGACAUGGGGGGUGCGCACCGCUGUCUCUUGUAGGCGGCGCUCUGGGCGCCCUCUGGGCCAGCAUCGGUUCCUGCUGCGGGAGAAGGGGCUCCGGAAAGUGGCUCUUCGGAGUGUUAUAGCCGGGGCCAGAUGCCGCGUGUGGGGACCGAGGACUGCGGCUUCUGUCUCGGAUGCUGGCAUAACGGCGCAAUACCGCCCGUCUU